CAGCCGCCACGGGAAUACAGAGGGUGCGAGCGUUAAUCGGAUUUACUGGGCGUAAAGCGUGCGUAGGCGGCUUCUUAAGUCGGAUGUGAAAUCCCUGAGCUUAACUUAGGAAUUGCAUUCGAUACUGGGAAGCUAGAGUAUGGGAGAGGAUGGUAGAAUUCCAGGUGUAGCGGUGAAAUGCGUAGAGAUCUGGAGGAAUACCGAUGGCGAAGGCAGCCAUCUGGCCUAAUACUGACGCUGAGGUACGAAAGCAUGGGGAGCAAACAGGAUUAGAUACCCGCGUAGUCCCUGUCUCUUAUAA
This 301-nucleotide ribosomal RNA is filed under the name uncultured bacterium. Its description in RNAcentral is "partial 16S ribosomal RNA". It matches the Rfam family "Bacterial small subunit ribosomal RNA", at positions 509 to 809 of the family's 1533-position model. The record is from RNAcentral.